This 73-nucleotide transfer RNA is filed under the name Paramuricea clavata. It matches the Rfam family "tRNA". Rfam says of the family: Transfer RNA (tRNA) molecules are approximately 80 nucleotides in length. Their secondary structure includes four short double-helical elements and three loops (D, anti-codon, and T loops). The record is from Rfam by way of RNAcentral. Lineage: Eukaryota; Metazoa; Cnidaria; Anthozoa; Malacalcyonacea; Plexauridae.
GGCCUUGUGGCGAAACUGGUAGCGCGUCUGACUCCAGAUCAGAAAGCUAAGUGUUCAAGUCACUUCAAAGUGA